RNAcentral lists this non-coding RNA (161 nucleotides) under Schistosoma margrebowiei. Lineage: Eukaryota; Metazoa; Platyhelminthes; Trematoda; Strigeidida; Schistosomatidae. The record is from Rfam by way of RNAcentral.
AUUGUAAACGGACUGUACUACCGAUUGAAUGGUUUACUGAAUUCGUCGGAUUAGUGUUGUUGUAGUGUCUUUACCGCUCGACUGAUGCUUAGAUGACCUAAUUUGACUAUUUAAAGGAUGUAAAAGUCGUAACAAGAUUUCCGUAAGUGAACUUGCGGAAU